CGCUAGCGGCGGGCNUAAUACAUGCAAGUCGAGGGGUAUGGGAGGCUUGCUUCCCAGAGACCGGCGCACGGGUGCGUAACGCGUAUGCAACCUGCCCCCUACACGGGGAUAGCCCGAAGAAAUUCGGAUUAAUACCCGAUGGCACCGCGACAUGGAUUCAUGAUGCGGUUAAAGAUUUAUCGGUAGGGGAUGGGCAUGCGUCUGAUUAGCUAGUUGGCGGGGUAACGGCCCACCAAGGCUACGAUCAGUAGGGGUUCUGAGAGGAUGAUCCCCCACACCGGUACUGAGACACGGACCGGACUCCUACGGGAGGCAGCAGUAAGGAAUAUCGGUCAAUGGGCGAGAGCCUGAACCAGCCACGCCGCGUGCAGGAAGAAUGCCCUAUGGGUUGUAAACUGCUUUUACACGGGAAGAACGGCCCUCUUGCGAGAGGGAUUGACGGUACCGUGGGAAUAAGCAUCGGCUAACUCCGUGCCAGCAGCCGCGGUAAUACGGAGGAUGCAAGCGUUAUCCGGAUUCAUUGGGUUUAAAGGGUGCGUAGGCGGACUUAUAAGUCAGGGGUGAAAUCCGGCAGCUCAACUGUCGAACUGCCUCUGAUACUGUGGGUCUUGAGUUAAGUUGAGGCAGGCGGAAUAUGACAUGUAGCGGUGAAAUGCAUAGAUAUGUCAUAGAACACCGAUAGCGAAGGCAGCCUGCCAAACUUAUACUGACGCUGAUGCACGAAAGCGUGGGUAGCGAACAGGAUUAGAUACCCUGGUAGUCCACGCCGUAAACGAUG
RNAcentral lists this ribosomal RNA (778 nucleotides) under uncultured bacterium. RNAcentral describes it as "bacterial SSU rRNA". It matches the Rfam family "Bacterial small subunit ribosomal RNA", at positions 34 to 811 of the family's 1533-position model. The record is from RNAcentral.